UACAGAGGGUGCAAGCGUUGUUCGGAAUUAUUGGGCGUAAAGGGCGCGUAGGCGGUGCCACAAGUCACCUGUGAAAUCUCCGGGCUUAACUCGGAGCCUGCAGGCGAAACUGUGGUGCUGGAGUGUGGGAGAGGUGCGUGGAAUUCCCGGUGUAGCGGUGAAAUGCGUAGAGAUCGGGAGGAACACCAGUGGCGAAGGCGGCUACCUGGACCAGCACUGACACUGAGGCACGAAGGCCAGGGGAGCAAACGGG
RNAcentral lists this ribosomal RNA (253 nucleotides) under uncultured bacterium. RNAcentral describes it as "partial 16S ribosomal RNA". It matches the Rfam family "Bacterial small subunit ribosomal RNA", at positions 524 to 776 of the family's 1533-position model. The record is from RNAcentral.